UACGUAGGGGGCGAGCGUUGUCCGGAUUUCUUGGGCGUAAAGAGCCCGUAGGCGGCUUGGUAAGUCGGGUGUGAAACCUCCAGGCUCAACCUGGAGCCGCCACUCGAUACUGCCAUGGCUAGAGUCCGGUAGAGGGUCACGGAAUUCCUGGUGUAGCGGUGAAAUGCGCAGAUAUCAGGAGGAACACCGGUGGCGAAGGCGGUGGCCUGGGCCGUUACUGACGCUGAGGAGCGAAAGCGUGGGGAGCAAACAGG
RNAcentral lists this ribosomal RNA (254 nucleotides) under uncultured bacterium. RNAcentral's name for it is "partial 16S ribosomal RNA". It matches the Rfam family "Bacterial small subunit ribosomal RNA", at positions 524 to 776 of the family's 1533-position model. The record is from RNAcentral.